This 543-nucleotide ribosomal RNA is filed under the name uncultured bacterium. RNAcentral's name for it is "bacterial SSU rRNA". It matches the Rfam family "Bacterial small subunit ribosomal RNA", at positions 358 to 916 of the family's 1533-position model. The record is from RNAcentral.
GGAAUCUUGCGCAAUGGGCGAAAGCCUGACGCAGCAACGCCGCGUGCGGGAAGAAGGCUUUCGGGCUGUAAACCGCUUUCAGCAGGAACGAAAAUGACGGUACCUGCAGAAGAAGGAGCGGCCAACUAUGUGCCAGCAGCCGCGGUGAUACAUAGGCUUCAAGCGUUGUCCGGAUUUAUUGGGCGUAAAGAGUUCGUAGGCGGUCAAGUAAGUCGGGUGUGAAAAUUCUGGGCUUAACCCAGGGACGCCACCCGAUACUGCUUAACUUGAGUUCGAUAGGGGAGUGGGGAAUUCCUAGUGUAGCGGUGAAAUGCGCAGAUAUUAGGAGGAACACCGGUGGCGAAGGCGCCACUCUGGAUCGAUACUGACGCUGAGGAACGAAAGCAUGGGUAGCAAACAGGAUUAGAUACCCUGAUAGUCCAUGCCGUAAACGGUGGGCACUAGGUGUGGGAUUCUAUUAACGAAUUCCGCGCCGUCGCUAACGCAUUAAGUGCCCCGCCUGGGGAGUACGGUCGCAAGACUAAAACUCAAAGGAAUGGACGG